CGAGCGGUAACAUUUCUAGCUUGCUAGAAGAUGACGAGCGGCGGACGGGUGAGUAAUACUUAGGAAUCUACCUAGUAGUGGGGGAUAGCUCGGGGAAACUCGAAUUAAUACCGCAUACGACCUACGGGAGAAAGGGGGCAACUUGUUGCUCUCGCUAUUAGAUGAGCCUAAGUCGGAUUAGCUAGAUGGUGGGGUAAAGGCCUACCAUGGCGACGAUCUGUAGCUGGUCUGAGAGGAUGAUCAGCCACACCGGGACUGAGACACGGCCCGGACUCCUACGGGAGGCAGCAGUGGGGAAUAUUGGACAAUGGGGGAAACCCUGAUCCAGCCAUGCCGCGUGUGUGAAGAAGGCCUUUUGGUUGUAAAGCACUUUAAGCAGUGAAGAAGACUCUUCGGUUAAUACCCGGAGACGAUGACAUUAGCUGCAGAAUAAGCACCGGCUAACUCUGUGCCAGCAGCCGCGGUAAUACAGAGGGUGCAAGCGUUAAUCGGAAUUACUGGGCGUAAAGCGAGCGUAGGUGGCUUGAUAAGUCAGAUGUGAAAUCCCCGGGCUUAACCUGGGAACUGCAUCUGAUACUGUCAGGCUAGAGUAGGUGAGAGGAAGGUAGAAUUCCAGGUGUAGCGGUGAAAUGCGUAGAGAUCUGGAGGAAUACCGAUGGCGAAGGCAGCCUUCUGGCAUCAUACUGACACUGAGGCUCGAAAGCGUGGGUAGCAAACAGGAUUAGA
Molecule: ribosomal RNA, 726 nt
Filed under: Psychrobacter sp. E2(2011)
Lineage: Bacteria; Pseudomonadati; Pseudomonadota; Gammaproteobacteria; Moraxellales; Moraxellaceae
Description: bacterial SSU rRNA
Rfam family: Bacterial small subunit ribosomal RNA
Source: RNAcentral